Molecule: long non-coding RNA, 1401 nt
Organism: Acanthochromis polyacanthus (spiny chromis)
Lineage: Eukaryota; Metazoa; Chordata; Actinopteri; Pomacentridae
Exons: 3
Source: RefSeq, a predicted model, not a curated record
CUGGCACUGAACAAUAGAAUGAGAGAUACCUUUAAAAAAGUUGAUGUACAGCCUGCAGUCUGGGAGUGUGUGUGCGUAAAAGACCAUUUACGUACGAUCAAAACAGGAUUUGGUUUACUUUUCACCGCUCCAGAAUUAAAAAAAAAAAAUAUUACGCUACAAAGAAUUGAAUGUAGAAGCUAUACUUUUCUAAAGAAUGGCAUUUUAAUCUGCAAAAAUAUACAAACGAACUAAAAUAAAAGCUCCCAUUUGAGGAAAAGUGGAUCAAUGCGGAACAGGCCUCUGAUCAUUCAGAUUAUCCCUAAAACAUCAAUAAUUCAAGCACACAAUAAGGCUUGGAAUCAAAGGCAAAAUAGAAACUUGCUUUUACCCCAAAGCAAGCAAUAUUCUCAUUUUUCCCUAGAAGAAAACAGUUCUUGUACUUUCAGCUGUAAAGUCGGAUAAGAUGAAGCCCCAGUGUUUCAUUUGUUUAGACGGUGUUUAGCGUGCAGUGCAGAUUUUGCAGUUCUGUCUCAAAGGUUGCAAAGUAGAAAAAAAAGUGGAUAUUUUUGGUGACCUCUUUAGUGGGACAAAGGAGGCUGCAGAUCGAUUCGUUACACCUUUUUAGUGAGGCUUCUGCUGAAGGGGAGGGGCUCUGAAGCCACAAGAGGCUCCAUUAAUAGCCUACACUCCAUCCUAACUAUUAUCCUCCGUAAAGUGUUUAUAAAGAGCACACAACUGGGCUAAUGUUAUCUCAAAUGAGGCAGCAUCAUAUAUCCGUUUACUGCAGAGAGGAUAAAGAGGAAGGAGAGAGGAGGAGGAAGUCUUAAAUUUGUUUUUUUUUCUUUAGUCUGAUAGAGGGUGCGGUGAUAAUCACAACACAACUUGGAUGAAAACAGCCACAGUUCAAACUCUGCGCUUUUCGUGCGUCUGCAGCCAGAACAUCGGACUUAUUAUUCAUCCACCGGCUCCUGUCUUAGCGAUGUGGGGGUUUGGACCGGAUCAUAGAAGAAACUGGAUUUAAAAAGGAGAAAAGUUUCUGCGUUUACUGAUUCUGGUCUGACAUGACCAUCUAAAGAGCUGCUGUCUGUAAGAUCUGGUGGAUCGUGUUGUAAAGAAGUCCAGCAGGUUGUCAAAUCAGACGGGGCGGAAAAAUAUAGCGCUAAGAAUCACCAAAUCCCUGACCUCUGCUCAACCCGGCGUCGUCUGCAACAUUAUCGGUGAAAAUAUCGUCUAACGAGGAGAGACGUGUCUGCAGAAGCAGCAGCACGCAGGACGACUGGCUCAGGGCAAGACAUCUGGAUCACAGCAGCUGUUGUCACCUACAAGCCACUUGCAAUCAUCUCGGAGAACAGUACAUCUCUUUGUUUUUGUGAUAAAAACGCACCGUAUGUAAGUUAAUAAAUACACUGUGUGAACAUA